RNAcentral lists this long non-coding RNA (284 nucleotides) under Ananas comosus (pineapple). Its description in RNAcentral is "long non-coding RNA (ACOM_LNC036896)". The record is from RNAcentral. Lineage: Eukaryota; Viridiplantae; Streptophyta; Magnoliopsida; Poales; Bromeliaceae.
CGUAUGGCGACUUGGAUGAUGGGUAUACUACUACUGCCAAAUCAGUGAGUUGGGUAAAGAAAUUGAGAAGGAAUUGGGGUAAGAGAAGAAGAAGAGAAGGGAUUGAGAUGUAGAGAAGGUAAGAGUGGGGUUAGGGAUAGAGAUGAGGCUGAGGUGAGAAGAGAUGAGGGAAUUGGGGAAGAAGUUUACUAUUUCAUUAAUGCUUAAUAUCUCUAUUACAAUUCUAUUUAUACUCCCCCCAUUACAUGCCAAAGUGCAAUUACAAGAAAGUAAAGGAUUAAACU